CGUGGCGGCCAAAGCGGCGGGGUCACUCCCGUACCCAUCCCGAACACGGCAGAUAAGCCCGCCAGCGUUCCGGCGAGUACUG
Molecule: ribosomal RNA, 82 nt
Filed under: Halobacteriales archaeon QH_6_64_20
Lineage: Archaea; Methanobacteriati; Methanobacteriota; Halobacteria; Halobacteriales
Source: RNAcentral